ACAGUCACACAUUAGAUACCCGUGUAGUCCCAGCCCUAAACGAUGCGCGUUAGGUGUAUCGGUGACCACGAGUCACCGAGGUGCCGAAGGGAAACCGUGAAACGUGCCGCCUGGGAAGUACGGUCGCAAGGCUGAAACUUAAAGGAAUUGGCGGGAGCACCACAACGGGUGGAGCCUGCGGUUUAAUUGGACUCAACGCCGGGAAGCUCACCGGAUAAGACAGCGGAAUGAUUGCCGGGCUGAAGACCCUGCAUGACCAGCUG
RNAcentral lists this ribosomal RNA (263 nucleotides) under uncultured archaeon. RNAcentral describes it as "partial 16S ribosomal RNA". It matches the Rfam family "Archaeal small subunit ribosomal RNA", at positions 719 to 982 of the family's 1478-position model. The record is from RNAcentral.